UCUUUUCCUUUUGUUUCAGCAGCCGCGGUAAUACGUAGGGGGCAAGCGUUAUCCGGAUUUACUGGGUGUAAAGGGAGCGUAGACGGUGUGGCAAGUCUGAUGUGAAAGGCAUGGGCUCAACCUGUGGACUGCAUUGGAAACUGUCAUACUUGAGUGCCGGAGGGGUAAGCGGAAUUCCUAGUGUAGCGGUGAAAUGCGUAGAUAUUAGGAGGAACACCAGUGGCGAAGGCGGCUUACUGGACGGUAACUGACGUUGAGGCUCGAAAGCGUGGGGAGCAAACAGG
RNAcentral lists this ribosomal RNA (284 nucleotides) under Blautia wexlerae DSM 19850. Its description in RNAcentral is "partial 16S ribosomal RNA". It matches the Rfam family "Bacterial small subunit ribosomal RNA", at positions 493 to 776 of the family's 1533-position model. Lineage: Bacteria; Bacillati; Bacillota; Clostridia; Lachnospirales; Lachnospiraceae. The record is from RNAcentral.